UGGUCGGCUCCUCUCAAAUGAAUCAGCUUGCCGGUGUUUGGUGGGCAUCACAGGUGUGAUAACUAUCUACGCUUGUGGUUUUCCACCAGGGUAACCUUCAGCAGUGGAGGUUCACUGGAGCUCAUAAAUGUCUCUCCUCAGUGGGGACAGCCCUUUGAAUGUUUGAUCUCAAAUCAGGUAGGACUACCCGCUGAACUUAA
Molecule: unclassified non-coding RNA, 200 nt
Filed under: soil metagenome
Description: partial contains internal transcribed spacer 2 and large subunit ribosomal RNA
Source: RNAcentral